Long non-coding RNA from Oncorhynchus masou masou (cherry salmon), 3262 nucleotides. RefSeq lists it as uncharacterized. The transcript has 4 exons. Lineage: Eukaryota; Metazoa; Chordata; Actinopteri; Salmoniformes; Salmonidae. The record is from RefSeq and is a predicted model, not a curated record.
CAGGGGAAGGCCGUCUUUUUAAAAUUCGAAUUUGUUCUUAACUGACUUGCCUAGUUAAAUAAAGGUUCAAUAAUAAAAAAUAAAAAAAACAUCUAUGGGUGAUGCUCGUUUUUGGAUAGAGAAGUGCCUAAUACACAUGUUGUUGUUUUAUUUUUUUCUUCAUUUUUUGUAAUUAUUUGUUAGUAUUUUCUUGUAUUAUUAUUUUUUUUCAAUACAAGUGUUUGCCACAGGGGACGUCCAAUAACUACACCGGUGUUUUACUGAUAAGGCAAGUCGGUAGGAUACAGGCUGUAAUGGACUACCAGGGGUAUUAGAGGAAUAAUAUAAUCAAUUAUACAAAUUCAGGAGCUAAUCAGAGAACAGUAGACAGUUGGAAAAUAAUUAAUGGCACGGACCCGGUGAUGCCAACGCGAACCCACCUGACAACGCAAACACAGCAGGAUCAAACUCAGCCUCGACAGUGAGUAGGCUAGCCACAAUAAAUCUAUCUUCAUUAUUGACUUAUUCCGUAACAGCUAUGUUUUCAAAUGUUUCAAGGGGACAUCCAAUAGUCAUUCGGGAUAUUACGGAUAUAAUAUUAUCUUCUUCAACUGCAGUAUCAAAAAAGGGCGAAAAAUGUAUCAGUUCAGAUGGGUUCACCAUGAUAUCACCCAUUGAAUCGCGACGGAGUAAACUACACAUGAGCGGUGCUGUGAGGCCAAGGAGAGGCACCUGGUGGAGUUAAGCCAAGCUAAACUGCAGAAACAGCUGAGAAAAGAGGAGAUGGACCGGCAACGGAGACAGGCAGAGGAAAAGGAGUAUGAGGAUGAAGGCUAAACAGCAGGAGAACGUCAGAGAGUGUUAGCAAUGUACAAAUAAAUCACUUAUUGACUGUCACUGUAUUGUUCUUCAGGUAUUCUCUCUGUAAUACCAUUUCAAGCCAAUAGAGGACACUGCAGACAGCUGGCACACUGAAACAAUCCUAGAUAUGGUGAUUGAAUGAGAGAGAAAUAGAGAGACGGAGAAAAAGAUAUCCACACCCAUAGGAGAGUUUCCAGGAAUUACAUGUUACAGCAGAGAGAGCUGUUCGACAUGCUUGGACCUGGCCUCCUGAGUAGCACAGUGGUCUAAGGCACUGCAUCGCAGCUUGAGGUGUCACUAUAGACCCGGGUUUGAUCCCAGGCUGUCUCACAGCUGGCCAUGACUGGGAGACACAUGAGGCUGCGAGAAAUUGUCCCAGUGUUGUACAGGUUAUGGGAGGGGCUGGCCAGCCAGGAUUUCCUUGUCCAUUGCGCUCCAGUGACUCCUUGGGCUCCUGCAAGCUGGACGCUGUUUCCUCUGACACAUUGGUGCGGCUGGUUUCCAGGCUACGAGUGUCAGGAAGCAGUGCGGCUUGGCAGGGUCGUGUUUUGGAGGACGCAUGGCUCUCUUGAGUCCGUAGGAGAGUUGCAGCAAUGGGACAAGGAGAAAAAGGGGUAAAAAAUAAAUAAAAAAUACAUAUUUGGCUGGCUCCCUCUGGUUAAUACUGACAGAGCUUUCCUACAGUUUAUUUUAAUAACUCUGGUACCAUUUUCAUAAAUAUGUGGUGAAUUUUCAAAACUGGUAACACCAGCCAGUCUUGCAUUCAAACAUUUCAUUGUGCAUUCAUUUUGUUUAUAGACAUCUUUCAUGAUACAACCAUUGAUCCAAAAUAUUUGUUUAUAAUGAGUACAUUGGUUUAAAUUACCAAAACAGAACAUAAUGAUAUCUUCUGAAUUUAGUUAUUAUAAUAAUCCAGUUAAUCCAAUAGCAAACUAAUUUGAAAGAAGCAUAAUGUUUAGCAGACGCUAGUUUGCAUCAAGCCUGUCUUGAGCAUUUGGCCAUAGGUUCUCAUCAAAAUCGCAGUAAAUAUCCACAUUUUUCAUGCACCAGGGGAAACAUCUUUUGGCAUGGUGAAUCCAAGCCUUACAUAGGUCUGGAUUGAAAUCAUUGCAUGCCUCAUCCAAUGCCUGUAAGUGUGUGGUACGCUCAUGGGGAUCUUCCACCUGUAUAGUAAUUGUAUUGUACAUAUUUAUUGUAGUGGUCAUGUAUGUGGCUCAGUUCAUUAGAGCAUGGCACUGGCAACCCCAGAAUUGUGGGUUUGAUUCCCACUGGGGUCACAUACCAAAUUGUAUUUUUAUUUAUUGAACCUUUAUUUAACUAGGCAAGUCAGUUAAGAACAAAUUCUUGUUUAAAAUGACGGCCUACACCGGCCAAACCUGGACGACGCUGGGCCAAUUGUGCACCACCUUAUGGGACUACCAAUCACGGCCGUAUGUGAUACAGCCUGGAAUAGAACCAGGGACUGUAGUGACGCCUCUUGCACUGAGAUGCAGUGCCUUAGACCUCUGUAUCGGCCAAUAUAAUUUCAAUAAAGCAGUGUGAACCCCCACCCCCAUCAAAAAUACCCCAGCAACUUCAUUUUGGAUGCAUGUUUACUGUAUAGGGGAUGCAUUUCUUUCUUGUUUAGGACUUUCUGGAUAAUUGGUAUUAUAUUGUAUUACUGCACUGUGGGAGCUAGAAACACAAGCAUUUUGCUGCACCUGCUGUAACAUCUGCUAAUCUGCGUACCCGACCAAGACACUUUGGUUUGUAACAUACAGUACAUCUCUGAUCUUGUAAAUAUCCAAGAUUUUUUUUACUGUGAAGUAAAAUCAUAAUAGUCAUCAAAGUAGUUCUCAAAAUCUGUAGAAGACAAAACAGUUUACAUGUCAAAUCUGUAGGUUUACCAAACGUUUAAGUGAUUAUGAAUUAAGAGCCGUUGGUUUAUGUAACAGUAAAAUGUAUUUUAACAAAAGAUAAGAGAAUCACAUCAAAAGUAAUGUGAGCAUUGCAUUGUGUAUGGCAAUUCUUUUUUACAUGUUAUAUUAACAUCUACUGCAAUGGGAAACAUGUAUUUCUAGAUGAAACACUGAUUAGGUUUGGUGAAAAAAGGGACUGUAUGAUUUUGUGUGUUUUACUUAGUCAAUUGAAAAUGUGCUUAAGAGUUUUGAAACAACUGCCUUUAUGAUGAUCUGUUUUUAGUUUUGUACUAAGAGUUGUGAUGUACCACAUACUUCUGAAAAUGUCACUAAAGCGAUUAAAACAAGAGAUGUGGUUACUGAGCCUUUGAAGGGAGCCACCUAAAAAGUCAACCAUGUUUCUCUAGACAACCCGGUCCAAGGUCGUGACUCAAAGUUCCAGUCUGAGAGACAGGAGGAGAGGUGUAGAUGGGAAGUAAUCCAUCAGGACAACGUCAGGUCAGCACUUUGUGAAGGAACUUGUA